AUGAACCAGUUACAGCAAUUGAUGGAUGCCUUGGCGUCAUCAGGCGACGAAGGACGCAGCAAGCUGCGAUAAGCUUCGGGGAGCGGCACGCACGCUUUGAUCCGAAGAUUUCCGAAUGGGGAAACCUGGCGCCGUUCAUACGGCGUCGCCCCGGUCUGAAUACAUAGGACCGGGUGCGCGACACGCGGAGAAGUGAAACAUCUCAGUAUCCGCAGGAAAAGAAUGAGAAUCGAUUCCGUUAGUAGUGGCGAGCGAACGCGGAACAGCCCAAACCGUCGGGAUUUAUCCUGACGGGGUUGUAGGACCACGACAUGGAAUGACGAGAGCUAUACGAACAUUCUGGAAAGAAUGGCCAUAGCGGGUGAUAGCCCCGUAGUUUAAAGCUCGAGUCUACCUAGUGGUAUCCUGAGUAGCACCGGACACGUGAAACCCGGUGUGAAUCCAUGCCGACCACGGCAUAAGGCUAAAUACUCGAUGACGACCGACAGUGAACUAGUACCGCGAGGGAAAGGUGAAAAGCACCCCUAUUAGGGGAGUGAAACAGUAACUGAAAUCAAUUGCUAACAAGUCAGUGGGAGCUCCCUUGUGGAGUGACCGCCUGCCUUUUGUAUAAUGAGUCUGCGAGUUAUUGCACGUAGCAAGCCUAAGCCGGUAACCGGUGGAGGCGCAGCGAAAGCGAGUCCGAAUAGGGCGCCCAGUUGCUUGCAAUAGACCCGAAACCGAGGUGAUCUAACCAUGGCCAGGUUGAAACUCCGGUAAAACGGAGUGGAGGACCGAACUCUUCAGUCUUGAGAAACUGUGAGAUGAGCUGUGGUUAGGAGCGAAAGACUAAUCAAACCCCGUGAUAGCUGGUUCUUUCCGAAAUAUAUUUGGGUAUAGCGUCGGGCGCUGAUUUGCGGAGGUAGAGCACUAAAUAAGCUAGGGCCCCUACCGGGGUACUGAACUUAAUUAAACUCCGAAUACCACGGGGCGAAGUCCGGCAGUCAGACUGUGGGGGAUAACCUUCAUAGUCGAAUGGAGAAUAAUCCACACCAUCGGUUAAGGUCCCAAAAUAUGGCUCAGUGUAAAAGGAUGUGAUUUUGCUUAGACAAUGGGGAUGUUGGCUUAGAGGCAGCCAUCAUUUAAACAGUGCGUAACAGCUGACCCAUCGAGCGAAAUUGCGCCGAAAAUGAUCGGGACUUAAGCCAUAUACCGAAGCCGUGGCUUCCACCGCAAGGUGGAGGGGUAGGAAAGCGUCCCAAGGGCAACGAAGUGGAAGGGUAACCGACCAUGGAGCGCUUGGGAGUGAGAAUGCAGACAUAAGUAACGAUAAAGCCGGUUGAAUUCCGGCUCGCCUAAAUCCCAAGGAUUCCUGGGGAAGGUUCGUCCUCCCAGGGUUAGUCGGGUGCUAAGACGAGGCCGUAAGGAAUAGUCGAUGCCAAUCUGGUUUAAUAUUCCAGAACCACUUCACUUGCGUUCGAUCCAUGGAGUGACGGAGAAAGCUAAGAUAGCAACGUGUUGAAUCGUUGUCGAAGCCCGUAGGUUCACCGGGAGUAAAACACCGGGUAAGACUGAAAGGCGACAGGACCCUGAAGCCACGGCUGAUGGGGAUUAUCUGAUGCUCUGCUUCCGAGAAAAGCUUCCUGGUUAGCAAGUGGGGUGCCCGUACCGUAAACCGACACAGGUGGGAAAGAUGAGUAUUCUAAGGCGCGCGAGUUAAAUCUCUCUAAGGAACUCGGCAAAUUAGCCCCGUAUCUUCGGUAGAAGGGGUGCCCCGCAAGGGGCCGCAGUUAAUUGCGUCAACCGACUGUUUAGCAAAAACACAGCUCUCUGCUAAGUCGCAAGACGACGUAUAGGGAGUGACACGUGACCAAUGCGGAAAGGUGAAAGCCUAGGGUGCAAGCUCUGGGUCUAAGCCCCCGUGAAUGUCGGCCGUAACUAUAACGGUCCUAAGGUAGCGAAAUUCCUUGUCGGGU
Molecule: ribosomal RNA, 1955 nt
Filed under: soil metagenome
Description: bacterial LSU rRNA
Rfam family: Bacterial large subunit ribosomal RNA
Source: RNAcentral